Molecule: long non-coding RNA, 661 nt
Organism: Acromyrmex echinatior (Panamanian leafcutter ant)
Lineage: Eukaryota; Metazoa; Arthropoda; Insecta; Hymenoptera; Formicidae
Source: RefSeq, a predicted model, not a curated record
UUCGUCUGUUCAUUCCGUCAAGUCAUUUGCCACAAAUUUUUCGCCUUAUCGCGAUCGGCACCCUUGUCAGGUAUCGUGCAGAUCAUCGUUGUCAGGAUCGGAGGUUAUUCAGAAGUUCGCCAAAAUCUGCUGUAGCGCAGAGAUAGAUUCCGCGCGGCUCGAUUGGAUUUCCGCAGUUCAAAUUUCAACACCUUUCACGCUGCAAUCACCGAAUCAACGGCUGUUUAAGCAGUUGCUUAUAACCGCGUUGAAAAUGUCAUCUGAGUAAAUAAAACGCAGAACGAUCUCGCUCCAUCGUUAUGACGUUCGUUUAUGUCAUACAGGGGGCACCGAACUGCAGUUUUUUUCCUGCUUCACCUAUUGUUGAGAGGCCAAAAGGAAGUGUUAAUGAGUCAUGGCACGAGCUAGUAGCGGAGCAGUUAUGUUUGCAGUGCAAUCAGAUGGCGGCACGCUAAAGAGGAAGAGGCUCCUCGCACCUUUCCGAUAACGAGCCAUGCCGCUAAGUCAGGGACUGCCUCCUUGCUCCUAAGUCCUUUCUUGAGUUGCGGCGAGCUAUUGCUUGCAAAACGCUAAUAUUGGCCGGUAUGUUACAAAUGCAGCUGAAAUAUAUAUGAGUUUCGCAAAUGAACAGAAAAGCUAUAGUUGCAUCUCAACAAAUGCA